AGGACGAACGCUGGCGGCGUGCUUAACACAUGCGAGUCAAGGGGGCCCAGCAAUGGGCAACCGGCGAACGGGUGCGUAACACGUGAGCAACCUACCGAACUGUGGGGGAUAGCCGGCCUAACGGCCGAGUAAUACCGCAUACGCUCUCAGAGAGGCAUUUCUUUGAGACGGAAACCUACGGGACAGAUCGAGGGGCUCGCGGCCUAUCAGCUAGUUGGCGAGGUAACGCUCACCAAGGCAACGACGGUAGCUGGUCUGAGAGGAGUGGCCAGCCACGAUUGGGACUGACGAUACGGCCCAGACUCCGUAACGGGACGGACAGCGAGUGGGGAAUCGUUGACGA
RNAcentral lists this ribosomal RNA (343 nucleotides) under uncultured soil bacterium. RNAcentral describes it as "bacterial SSU rRNA". It matches the Rfam family "Bacterial small subunit ribosomal RNA", at positions 26 to 371 of the family's 1533-position model. The record is from RNAcentral.